UAUCAAGCAGUGUGCUGUAUUUCAGUGCCUCGUGCCUGCUCUCUCCUGCCCCGUUGGUCUGAGAGAUGCCCAUGGAGAUACCAUCUCUGAGACCAUGGGGGUCUUUGAGCUGACCAGCACAGGGCAUGGAGCUGGCACUAUGCUCUUCCAGCCCAUCUCUUGUUGGGAAAGCUCCAGAGAAACCUUUGGUUAUCUAGAAAACAUGGAAUUUCUGAGGAGAAUUACGAGAUGAAUGGCAGAAUAUUGCAGACCUUUGCCAAGGAAGGCGGAUAUCAAAUCGGGCAGAACAUGUUUGGAAAAAUCAUCACCUGAACAUGAGUAUGCCUGAAAGCGUGAGGGCUUUCUGCUGGGGAUGCUGCUUCAGCCCAGCUCUGCAGCACGAAGGUCUGGAGGAGCAAAACCCACCCGCAAAAGGAGCGCGAAGCGGUCGGUGUGACCUCAGGAGGAUGAUGGUGAAUGACCCACGCCCAUGAUGAGGAGCACAUGCAGUGCCGUGGCUGCAGAGCUUCCCACGCUGCAACACACAGCAAUCUGCCACUGAAUACGCCGACAAGGGUCGGUAUCUCUGGUUUACCACCGAACUGUAAGAUCAAAGAUGAGUGCCACAGGGACAGCGGUGAUCCAAAGGCAAUGCAUUAUUUAAAACUUCAGCAAUCAUGACAAUUUUUAGGAGUCUAGCCCAUUAGCUCAGCUUUCCCAUUGGCUGCUCGUCCUCUAUAGUAGGAGUAACCAUUUCACACCUGACAUCUCCUCACUCAUUCUCCUCUGCCCAUGCCUCCAGUCCCCAUGCAGAGGGCCCGGCUUCAGUGUAAGAAGGGAAACGCAGUGCCUAGAGGGUGCAGUGAGGUUUGGGAUGCUCGGGGCACCGCUGAUUUCUCACCUUCAGCGGCACAGCCCCAGUGCGUGCAUUUUCAUUCCAGCUGAGGGUACAGUGUCAGCAGAUGAC
Molecule: long non-coding RNA, 946 nt
Filed under: Phasianus colchicus (ring-necked pheasant)
Lineage: Eukaryota; Metazoa; Chordata; Aves; Galliformes; Phasianidae
Description: lncRNA (ENSPCLG00000015676.1)
Source: RNAcentral